CUAUGGGGCGAAAAAACAUGCUCCAGAUAAAAACUCCAAUAAAUGUGGACAGACGCAUAAAUCUGACUUCAGGGUGUCAAGCUCUCCUUUAAGAGACAACGGGCAAGCUGACCAAUGAGGUGUCAGUGGUGCUGCAGCAGGAAGCUGAAACACUUCACCCCUGCUGUUACCCUUCCUAGAGAGGUGACUGAUGAGUCUGGCAGAAACGCACCAUACAGAUAUGACGACUUACCAGUUC
Molecule: long non-coding RNA, 238 nt
Organism: Xiphias gladius (swordfish)
Lineage: Eukaryota; Metazoa; Chordata; Actinopteri; Istiophoriformes; Xiphiidae
Exons: 3
Source: RefSeq, a predicted model, not a curated record